AGUGAACGCUGGCGGUAGGCCUAACACAUGCAAGUCGAACGGCAGCACAGGAGAGCUUGCUCUCUGGGUGGCGAGUGGCGGACGGGUGAGGAAUACAUCGGAAUCUGCCCAGUCGUGGGGGAUAACGUAGGGAAACUUACGCUAAUACCGCAUACGACCUUCGGGUGAAAGAGGGGGAUCGCAAGACCUCUCGCGAUUGGAUGAGCCGAUGUCGGAUUAGCUAGUUGGCGGGGUAAUGGCCCACCAAGGCGACGAUCCGUAGCUGGUCGGAGAGGAUGAUCAGCCACACUGGAACUGAGACACGGUCCAGACUCCUACGGGAGGCAGCAGUGGGGAAUAUUGGACAAUGGGCGCAAGCCUGAUCCAGCCAUACCGCGUGGGUGAAGAAGGCCUUCGGGUUGUAAAGCCCUUUUGUUGGGAAAGAAGUCUUUCAGGCUAAUACCCUGGGAGGAUGACGGUACCCAAAGAAUAAGCACCGGCUAACUUCGUG
RNAcentral lists this ribosomal RNA (490 nucleotides) under uncultured bacterium. Its description in RNAcentral is "partial 16S ribosomal RNA". It matches the Rfam family "Bacterial small subunit ribosomal RNA", at positions 29 to 507 of the family's 1533-position model. The record is from RNAcentral.